ACACGCUUCUCAGGACUUCCGGCUUGCCACAUCGGAGAGGUUGGCACACAGGAGUAGUCCUAUUUUUACUUUUGUUUAGUUUUUACCGGUCCACACUCAGCAUAAGAUAACAAUGGUGCGAUUAUGAACGGACGAGAGAUUACACAGCCUCGGAUUUUUACGGUAAUUGUUCCUGCAACGGACGGCAGCGCUGACAGAAUGGCGGCGGUGUUGCUAUGACAUGUUCUGCCGGGAAGCGGCCAUCCUUACAAACGGAAAAGGAACCAGCUUGAACAGCUUCAAUCAGUGUGGCAGGACGGGAGAGGCAGAGGGAGAGCGGGAAAUAUGUGGUCCAAUAGGCUAACAAGUAGGGACAGUGCAGGUGGUCAGAGUUGGCGGGAAGAUGGGUGCAGCUAACUACAGAUCAUCCUGGAAGAAAACCUCUGAAAACCUGCAAGACUCGACUUCUAUCCAAUUUGUGACAAGGCUUCAAAUUAACAUCCACAGAUUUUCUUCAUAAUGUGACUGAGUUGCAUUCAGGAGCUGGGUUGGCGCUCUCCAUGCCAGUGGCUGUGAAAAACAGCACAUUUUUCAUUAACAGGAUUACCGUCCAACAAUAAAAAUACAGACGAAUGAGAGUGAGCGUUGUGUUACACAGGCUGCCAGUGAAUUUAAUCACUAUCCAUUCCCUUU
This is a long non-coding RNA of Poecilia latipinna (sailfin molly), 672 nucleotides long. RefSeq lists it as uncharacterized. Lineage: Eukaryota; Metazoa; Chordata; Actinopteri; Cyprinodontiformes; Poeciliidae. The transcript is spliced from 4 exons. The record is from RefSeq and is a predicted model, not a curated record.